Molecule: ribosomal RNA, 253 nt
Filed under: uncultured bacterium
Lineage: Bacteria
Description: partial 16S ribosomal RNA
Rfam family: Bacterial small subunit ribosomal RNA
Source: RNAcentral
UACGAAGGGGGCUAGCGUUGCUCGGAAUUACUGGGCGUAAAGCGCACGUAGGCGGCUUUCUAAGUCGGGGGUGAAAUCCUGGAGCUCAACUCCAGAACUGCCUUCGAUACUGGAGAGCUUGAGUCCGGGAGAGGUGAGUGGAACUGCGAGUGUAGAGGUGAAAUUCGUAGAUAUUCGCAAGAACACCAGUGGCGAAGGCGGCUCACUGGCCCGGUACUGACGCUGAGACGCGAAAGCCAGGGGAGCGAACGGG